CCUACGGGUGGCAGCAGUGGGGGAUAUUGCACAAUGGGGGAAACCCUGAUGCAGCAACGCCGCGUGAGUGAAGAAGUAUUUCGGUAUGUAAAGCUCUAUCAGCAGGGAAGAGAAUGACGGUACCUGACUAAGAAGCCCCGGCUAACUACGUGCCAGCAGCCGCGGUAAUACGUAGGGGGCGAGCGUUAUCCGGAUUUACUGGGUGGAAAGGGCGCGUAGACGGCUGGUCAAGUCUGAAGUGAAAGCCCGGGGCUUAACCCCGGAACGGCUUUGGAAACUGAGCAGCUAGCGUGCUGGAGAGGUAAGCGGAAUUCCUAGUGUAGCGGUGAAAUGCAUAGAUAUCGCGCAGAACUCCGAUUGCGAAGGCAGCGUACCGGCGCCAGACUGACGCUGAGGCACGAAAGCGUGGGGAUCGAACAGGAUUAGAUACCCCAGUAGUC
RNAcentral lists this ribosomal RNA (440 nucleotides) under uncultured bacterium. RNAcentral's name for it is "partial 16S ribosomal RNA". It matches the Rfam family "Bacterial small subunit ribosomal RNA", at positions 338 to 795 of the family's 1533-position model. The record is from RNAcentral.